AUAAAUAACAAUGUGUGCUCUCGUAAGUGAUUUUAUAGAGAUAAU
RNAcentral lists this non-coding RNA (45 nucleotides) under Trypanosoma brucei brucei. Lineage: Eukaryota; Euglenozoa; Kinetoplastea; Trypanosomatida; Trypanosomatidae. The record is from RNAcentral.